UUUCUCCAAUGAUUAUAUUCAGAUAAAUAAGAGAUGGUUGCUUAUGCAGUUGCUUUGAAUGAUGAAUUUUAUUGUUGAUGCAAGCCAUCUAGAAUAUGAUGGGAGGUGAAUCAUACUAUUGAAGUUUAGAGUUGCUAGAGAUUAAAAGUUUAGUUAAUCAAGAUAUUCAAAUUUUACAUUAUAAGACUAUGAUUCCAUAAUGUUGGUUGGUUUGGAAGAUCCUUUGUAGUACUAUGAUUUUUCUAAGUUGAAUAUAUUUGAAAUUUUUGUUAUGAAAAUUGAGAUUAUUGUUA
Long non-coding RNA from Erythranthe guttata (spotted monkey flower), 293 nucleotides. RefSeq lists it as uncharacterized. NCBI's taxonomy places the organism in Eukaryota, Viridiplantae, Streptophyta, Magnoliopsida, Lamiales, Phrymaceae. The record is from RefSeq and is a predicted model, not a curated record.